GACGAACGCUGGCGGCGUGCUUAACACAUGCAGGUCGAACGGAAAGGCCCUGCUUUUGUGGGGUGCUCGAGUGGCGAACGGGUGAGUAACACGUGAGUAACCUGCCCUUGACUUUGGGAUAACUUCAGGAAACUGGGGCUAAUACCGGAUAGGAGCUCCUGCUGCAUGGUGGGGGUUGGAAAGUUUCGGCGGUUGGGGAUGGACUCGCGGCUUAUCAGCUUGUUGGUGGGGUAGUGGCUUACCAAGGCUUUGACGGGUAGCCGGCCUGAGAGGGUGACCGGCCACAUUGGGACUGAGAUACGGCCCAGACUCCUACGGGAGGCAGCAGUGGGGAAUAUUGCACUAUGGGCGGAAGCCUGAUGCAGCAACGCCGCGUGCGGGAUGACGGCCUUCGGGUUGUAAACCGCUUUCGCCUGUGACGAAGCGUGAGUGACGGUAAUGGGUAAAGAAGCACCGGCUAACUACGUG
Molecule: ribosomal RNA, 468 nt
Filed under: uncultured bacterium
Lineage: Bacteria
Description: partial 16S ribosomal RNA
Rfam family: Bacterial small subunit ribosomal RNA
Source: RNAcentral